AUCGAGUUAGUGCUAGCAUAGAAUCUAACAAGAAAUGGCCCUGCAUCCAUUCUCUUUUCUUCUAAUAACAGCCCCAGAUUUCCAUUUUUGGACCUACCUUUUCCUUUUUAUCAGGCUAAGUGUUCAUGGUGGGGCUCUGUCCUUAGUUCCAGGGAUAAAGCCUGUGACCCAAACUUAAACCGCAGAUCAUUUUCCCCAGGCCAUGGAGAUUGUUUCAAAUGUGGGCACAUGGCCUGAAUGGGUCAUAUCAGAGUAAAUCUUAGGGCUUCUGGGUUAUGCCACCAUCACAGGCUCUUGCUUUCCUCACUGAACUUGAACCUAGACGGAUGUAAGCUGGAGCUGUGGCAGCCAUCAUUGCCCUGUGAAAAGUCCACUUGGAGCUGCCAAAGACCACCCCAGGAGCUUCAGAAUGAAGACAACCUGGAAGUCAGAGCUGACAGAAAUAAGGUGAAGUUAGCUUGAGGAAAGAGCUGUAAGGAAGAGUGAAGUCAGCUGAGUCAAGGACACAAGCGGAAAAUGUGCAAAGAUGAGCCAGAAGCAUGGAAAAGUACCUCCAAGACAGAGGAGAACUGAUCCAAGAGAAAGGAGAUGGGAGUGGGCAUCACGUACAGCCAGAGGGCGCCACCUGCCGGUAAGAGCUGAAUAGUGAACUUCGUGUUUCUUGGGAUAAAACAUUGUAUAAUACACAGUACUGGGAAGAAAAUCAUAUACGCACUAAUGUGCCUCUACGUUAUACCGCCGUCAUUCCCCUAAUUUAUCACCCCCUUAUGAGUAAAUUCGGGUUACAAAAACUUGUGUAACAUAACAUUGUAUAUAUUCUUUGCAAUGUAUGCAAAUACACACAAAUAUGUAAAUAUAUGUUUAUUUGUUUGUAUACGCGUAGGAUAGUUUCAGAUGGAAACACCCAAAGUAGCAACACUGACUGCCUCUAGGGGGGGAAACCGAGCAUCUAGAAGGUGAGGUGUGUGUGGGUGUACUUUUGAGGUGUUGCCCACCUGUAUGUUUUGAAUAUUCUCUAAUCAAAAAAAAAAUUUAAAUAGAAUCAUUAAAAUUUUUUAAAACUGAAGACUUCCCCUGGAUCCUUUCCAUCAUCUUUAACUAGAACCAUUCUGGCUUUAUGACUAAACCUAUCUGCUUUGGUCAUUUACUUCUUUAAAACGAGACAACCAUGUGACAUCCUAGGAUCCAUCGAAUGACCUGGUUCACAAGAGAAGCCAGAGUGCAGUCAGGACAAGGCAAACAGCCCUUUACUGGAAGAAUUGGGCAAUCUAUCUGGUGAGAGGUAAGUUUAAAUAGGGCAGUGACACUGCACAACAAAGUCCCAUUUUUUGGACUUUAUGGGGGUUGAAAACCCUGCCUGACAGACUCAGAGUCCUUAACCAGACUGCCCCAGCGGGGAGAAGGGUACCAGGAGGGUUUCCACGAGGGCAGAGGCAGCAGGUGUCUGACUACCUACUCCAUUUGCAAGGACGAAUGGAAAGCCAGGGCUCACCACACAGGUGAACAGUAGAAGACUGCAUGAGCCGAUGGAAAAACAGACCCUAAGAGCAGCA
This is a long non-coding RNA of Homo sapiens (human), 1553 nucleotides long. NCBI's taxonomy places the organism in Eukaryota, Metazoa, Chordata, Mammalia, Primates, Hominidae. The record is from Ensembl.